Molecule: long non-coding RNA, 206 nt
Filed under: Pan troglodytes (chimpanzee)
Lineage: Eukaryota; Metazoa; Chordata; Mammalia; Primates; Hominidae
Description: long non-coding RNA NONPTRT013938
Source: RNAcentral
AUGAAUGAAAGAGUAAACAAAGAAAUGAAGUGGGCAAAUGAAACACUUCACAGCUUCGUUCACAACAGUAAAAGUGAUGGAUAUAUCAUAUGAUUUAAAAAUACUGAUGAUUUGAUACAGCAAAGAAUGAUUCCCAGUCUGAUCCACUAGUAGGGAUGGAAGAAAUAGUAAAGAAAAAAGAGAAUCAAAGGACAACCCUCAUGUCA